CGGCGAGUGAAGCGGCAACAGCUCAAAUUUGAAAUCUGGCCGCAAGGUCCGAGUUGUAAUUUGCAGAGGAUGCUUUUGGCGAGGUGCCUUCCGAGUUCCCUGGAACGGGACGCCAUAGAGGGUGAGAGCCCCGUACGGUAGGACCACCGAGCCUUUGUAAAGCUCCUUCGACGAGUCGAGUAGUUUGGGAAUGCUGCUCUAAAUGGGAGGUGUACGUCUUCUAAAGCUAAAUACCGGCCAGAGACCGAUAGCGCACAAGUAGAGUGAUCGAAAGAUGAAAAGCACUUUGAAAAGAGGGUUAAAAAGUACGUGAAAUUGUUGAAAGGGAAGCAUUCAUGACCAGACUUGGGCUUGGUUGAACAUCCGGCGUUCUCGCCGGUGCACUCUGCCAGUCCAGGCCAGCAUCAGUUUGCCCCGGGGGACAAAGGCGGUGGGAAUGUGGCUCUCUCCGGGGAGUGUUAUAGCCCGCCGUGUAAUGCCCUGGGGCGGACUGAGGAACGCGCUUCGGCUCGGAUGCUGGCGUAAUGGUCAUCAAUGACCCGUCUUGAAACACGGACCAAGGAGUCGUCUUCGUAUGCGAGUGUUCGGGUGUCAAACCCCUACGCGAAAUGAAAGUGAACGUAGGUGAGAGCU
RNAcentral lists this ribosomal RNA (633 nucleotides) under Sarocladium spinificis. RNAcentral describes it as "partial large subunit ribosomal RNA". It matches the Rfam family "Eukaryotic large subunit ribosomal RNA", at positions 87 to 743 of the family's 3401-position model. The record is from RNAcentral. Lineage: Eukaryota; Fungi; Ascomycota; Sordariomycetes; Hypocreales; Sarocladiaceae.